Molecule: ribosomal RNA, 492 nt
Filed under: uncultured bacterium
Lineage: Bacteria
Description: partial 16S ribosomal RNA
Rfam family: Bacterial small subunit ribosomal RNA
Source: RNAcentral
AGUGAACGCUGGCGGUAGGCCUAACACAUGCAAGUCGAACGGCAGCACAGUAAGAGCUUGCUCUUACGGGUGGCGAGUGGCGGACGGGUUAGGAAUACAUCGGACUCUACUUUUUCGUGGGGGAUAACGUAGGGAAACUUACGCUAAUACCGCAUACGACCUACGGGUGAAAGCAGGGGAUCUUCGGUCCUUGCGCGAUUGAAUGAGCCGAUGUCGGAUUAGCUAGUUGGCGGGGUAAAGGCCCACCAAGGCGACGAUCCGUAGCUGGUCUGAGAGGAUGAUCAGCCACACUGGAACUGAGACACGGUCCAGACUCCUACGGGAGGCGGCAGUGGGGAAUGUUGGACAAUGGGCGCAAGCCUGAUCCAGCCAUACCGCGUGGGUGAAGAAGGCAUUCGGGUUGUAAAGCACGUUUGUUGGGAAAGAAAAGCAGCAGGUUAAUACCCCGCUGUUCUGAAGGUACCCAAAGAAUAAGCACCGGCUAACUUAGUG